AUGUUCAAGAAAUUUGGAGAGUCAUUAUACAAGGUGGGGUCUUAUGUUACCGAGGAGCAGUUGCAUCGAAGGAAAUACAUAGUUAAACAUGCCGAUGUGGUUAAUAGGGAAACUUGGUGCAAGGCUGCUUUCGUGGUAGAGGUCGAUGAGGCUCUACAAGAAUUUGUAUGCGAGUGUGGCUUCUACCCUCACUCUGGAAUAUUGUGCUGCCAUGCUUUGAAGGUACGUCUUAUGUAG
RNAcentral lists this ribosomal RNA (237 nucleotides) under Triticum aestivum (bread wheat). Its description in RNAcentral is "partial small subunit ribosomal RNA". Lineage: Eukaryota; Viridiplantae; Streptophyta; Magnoliopsida; Poales; Poaceae. The record is from RNAcentral.